Molecule: ribosomal RNA, 253 nt
Filed under: uncultured bacterium
Lineage: Bacteria
Description: partial 16S ribosomal RNA
Rfam family: Bacterial small subunit ribosomal RNA
Source: RNAcentral
UACGAAGGGUGCAAACGUUGCUCGGAAUUAUUGGGCGUAAAGCGCACGUAGGCGGCUUAGCAAGUCGGAUGUGAAAGCCCUCGGCUUAACUGAGGAAGUGCACCCGAAACUGAGUAGCUAGAGUACUAAAGAGGGUCGCGGAAUUCCCGGUGUAGAGGUGAAAUUCGUAGAUAUCGGGAGGAACACCGGUGGCGAAGGCGGCGACCUGGGUAGAUACUGACGCUGAGGCGCGAAAGCGUGGGGAGCAAACAGG